This 568-nucleotide ribosomal RNA is filed under the name uncultured organism. RNAcentral's name for it is "bacterial SSU rRNA". It matches the Rfam family "Bacterial small subunit ribosomal RNA", at positions 914 to 1480 of the family's 1533-position model. The record is from RNAcentral.
CGGGGCCCCGCACAACCGGUGGAGCAUGAGGUGGAAUUAGACGCAACGAGAAGAACCUCACCUGGGCUGGACAAGAUCGCGGACAGCGAUGGAGACAGAGUCUCUCCUUAGGGAGCCAAGGAACAGGUUCUGCAUUGGCUGUCGUCAGCUCGUGUCGUGAGAUGUUGGGUUAAGUCCCGCAACGAGCGCAACCCUCGUUAGUAAUUGCCAUCAGUUCGGAUGGGCACUCUAGUGAGACAGCCGGUGAUAAACCGGAGGAAGGUGAGGAUGAUGUCAAGUCAUCAUGGCCCUUACGCUCAGGGCUACACACGUGCUACAAUGGUCGGCACAAAGGGUCGCUAAGCCACGAGGUGGAGCUAAUCCCAAAAAGCCGGCCUCAGUUCGGAUUGGAGUCUGCAACUCGACUCCAUGAAGUCGGAAUCGCUAGUAAUCGCGGAUCAGCAUACCGCGGUGAAUAUGUUCCCGGGCCUUGUACACACCGCCCGUCAUAUCACCCGAGUCGGGGAUACCCGAAGUCCGUGACCCAACCAUUUGGAGGGAGCGGCCGAAGGUGUGCCUGUAAGGGGGG